AGGGGACCUUCGGGCCUUUCGCUAACAGAUGAGCCUGCGUUGGAUUAGCUAGUUGGUGGGGUAAGGGCCCACCAAGGCGACGAUCCAUAGCUGGUCUGAGAGGACGAUCAGCCACACUGGGACUGAGACACGGCCCAGACUCCUACGGGAGGCAGCAGUGGGGAAUAUUGGACAAUGGGCGCAAGCCUGAUCCAGCAAUACCGCGUGUGUGAAGAAGGCCCUAGGGUUGUAAAGCACUUUCAAUUGGGAGGAAAACCCACCGGCCAAUACCCGGUGGCUUGACAUUACCUUUAGAAGAAGCACUGGCUAACUCCGUGCCAGCAGCCGCGGUAAUACGGAGGGUGCGAGCGUUAAUCGGAAUUACUGGGCGUAAAGCGUGCGUAGGCGGCCCGUUAAGUCAGAUGUGAAAGCCCCGGGCUCAACCUGGGAACUGCAUUUGAAACUGGCGGGCUAGAGUUUGGUAGAGGGGAGCGGAAUUUUAGGUGUAGCGAUGAAAUGCGUAGAUAUCUGAAGGAACACCAGUGGCGAA
This 529-nucleotide ribosomal RNA is filed under the name uncultured bacterium. RNAcentral describes it as "bacterial SSU rRNA". It matches the Rfam family "Bacterial small subunit ribosomal RNA", at positions 202 to 719 of the family's 1533-position model. The record is from RNAcentral.